This is a long non-coding RNA of Magallana angulata, 904 nucleotides long. RefSeq lists it as uncharacterized. The record is from RefSeq and is a predicted model, not a curated record. NCBI's taxonomy places the organism in Eukaryota, Metazoa, Mollusca, Bivalvia, Ostreida, Ostreidae. The transcript has 2 exons.
CAAUAUUAUGCAUUAAGAUCGAUUAUUUGCGUUGUUAUUUUAGCAUUCAAAAUUGCCAAUGCGGAGAUGCAUAAUCGAUCAAAGGCCAUACAAAAGGCAAUUAAUUAAUAUGCAUUUUUCAUAUUGCUUGUUUGCCAGUUCGAGAACAGUUUUGGUUAAUUCCUUGUAAAUAUUUUCGAUAGCCAACAAGUGGUUUUGAGAUCGAAUAUUGGCCUGUGAUAACUUUCUACUUGGUGGUCGUUGUAUUUGUACUAUGGGAACACUUUCUUCUAAAACUGGCAACAACCAAAUAGCCUUGAUCACAUAUCUUCUUCUUUUUGACCCCCUCGUUAACCUUACGAGAACUUUCUACGAGAGAUAACUCUGACAAUCGGUCAUUGCCACGUGUGUGUAAAACGGCGCAGAAGACAACAGAAGGUAAACAUGUCGAAGGAAGACGAGAAAUACAUGGACGAGUUCGACAAAUACAAUAUUGAGCAGGAUAAAUACGCUCAUGGAAAGAGUGGCGGCAAGCCCGGACGAAGCAAGACUGAAACAGAACAGAACAAGAAGCACGGAGAACACACACGUAAAAUCGCCGAGCAUCUCAUAAACAGCGCUCACAAGUCGGAGAAAGAGCCCGAUCACCAGCACCACAAAAAAUAAGCUCAGACAUGAAACAAAUUUUGAUGCAAAGCAAACCUCAGGAUGGGAACUGAAGAGAAGUUGGAGUCGCUCUCUUUAAAAAAAGAAAAUACAAAAGACUUAAUUAAUAUGCAGUUUACGAAAUAUCAACAAUGCAGAUAAUUGAAUUUUGCGGAAAUGGUUGAAAACCUGAUUGCAAUCUCAUGGACAUGCAGUUAUUUUGAAUAUUUUUUGUGAUAUUUAUCGCUAUAUUUUUUCUGUAUAAAUGUUAUAAAAAUUG